RNAcentral lists this ribosomal RNA (253 nucleotides) under uncultured bacterium. Its description in RNAcentral is "partial 16S ribosomal RNA". It matches the Rfam family "Bacterial small subunit ribosomal RNA", at positions 524 to 776 of the family's 1533-position model. The record is from RNAcentral.
UACGAAGGGGGCUAGCGUUGUUCGGAAUUACUGGGCGUAAAGCGCACGUAGGCGGACUAUUAAGUCAGGGGUGAAAUCCCGGGGCUCAACCCCGGAACUGCCUUUGAUACUGGUAGUCUCGAGUCCGGAAGAGGUGAGUGGAAUUCCGAGUGUAGAGGUGAAAUUCGUAGAUAUUCGGAGGAACACCAGUGGCGAAGGCGGCUCACUGGUCCGGUACUGACGCUGAGGUGCGAAAGCAUGGGGAGCAAACAGG